GCCUACCAAGGCUGCGAUGCAUAGCCGACCUGAGAGGGUGAUCGGCCACAUUGGGACUGAGACACGGCCCAAACUCCUACGGGAGGCAGCAGUAGGGAAUCUUCGGCAAUGGACGAAAGUCUGACCGAGCAACGCCGCGUGAGUGAAGAAGGUUUUCGGAUCGUAAAACUCUGUUGUUAGAGAAGAACAAGGAUGAGAGUAACUGUUCAUCCCUUGACGGUAUCUAACCAGAAAGCCACGGCUAACUAC
This 249-nucleotide ribosomal RNA is filed under the name uncultured bacterium. RNAcentral describes it as "partial 16S ribosomal RNA". It matches the Rfam family "Bacterial small subunit ribosomal RNA", at positions 263 to 504 of the family's 1533-position model. The record is from RNAcentral.